GGGCUUGUACCCUUCUUUGUUGUUGUAGGUACCAUAGUCAUCACCAUAUCCAUUAUUACGAACAGGACUACCAGUGGGCUUGGGCUUGUACCCAUCUUUGUUGUUGUAGUUACCAUAGUCAGCACCAAAUCCAUCAUUAUAAACGGGGAUCACAGUGGGCUUGUACCCCUGUUUGUUGUUGUGGUCUCCAUAGUCAGCACCAUAACCAUCACUAUAAACGGGAGAGCCACUGGGCUUGGGCUUGGGCUUGUACCCUUGUUUGUUACUGUAGUCUCCAUAGUCAGCACCAUGUCCAUCAUUAUAAACCGGAGUGAAACUGGGCUUGGGCUUAUAGUCUCCAUAGUCAGCACCAUAUCCAUCAUUAUAAACGGGAGAGCCGCUGGGCUUGGGUUUGGGCUUGUACCCUUGUUUGUUGUUAUAGUCUCCAUAGUCAGCACCAUAUCCAUCAUUAUAAACCGGAGUGGUAGUGGGCUUGGGCUUAUAGUCUCCAUAGGCAGCACCAUAUCCAUCAUUAUAAACCGGAGUGGAAGUGGGCUUGGGCUUAUAGUCUCCAUAGUCAGCACCAUAUCCAUCUUUAUAAACGGGAGAGCCAGUGGGCCUGGGCUUGUAACCUUCUUUGUUGUUGUAGUCUCCAUAGUCAGCACCAUGUCCAUUAUUAUAAACGGGAGAGCCACUGGGUCUGGGCUUGUACCCUUCUUUGUUGUUGUAG
RNAcentral lists this long non-coding RNA (709 nucleotides) under Phaseolus vulgaris (common bean). Its description in RNAcentral is "long non-coding RNA (PVUL_LNC002358)". Lineage: Eukaryota; Viridiplantae; Streptophyta; Magnoliopsida; Fabales; Fabaceae. The record is from RNAcentral.